Molecule: ribosomal RNA, 110 nt
Filed under: Tannerella forsythia KS16
Lineage: Bacteria; Pseudomonadati; Bacteroidota; Bacteroidia; Bacteroidales; Tannerellaceae
Source: RNAcentral
AAGGUGGUUAUAGCACGAGGGAUCCACCUCUUCCCAUUCCGAACAGAGAAGUUAAGCCUCGUCACGCCGAUGGUACUGCUAUAUUGUGGGAGAGUAGGUAGCCGCCGUUU